UGGCGGACGGGUGAGUAAUGUCUGGGAAACUGCCUGAUGGAGGGGGAUAACUACUGGAAACGGUAGCUAAUACCGCAUAACGUCGCAAGACCAAAGAGGGGGACCUUCGGGCCUCUUGCCAUCAGAUGUGCCCAGAUGGGAUUAGCUAGUAGGUGGGGUAACGGCUCACCUAGGCGACGAUGCCCUAGCUGGUUCUGAGAGGAUGACCAGCCACACGGAAUAGACACGGUCAUUGGCCA
This 239-nucleotide ribosomal RNA is filed under the name Enterobacter sp. En-Cren. Its description in RNAcentral is "partial 16S ribosomal RNA". It matches the Rfam family "Bacterial small subunit ribosomal RNA", at positions 96 to 338 of the family's 1533-position model. Lineage: Bacteria; Pseudomonadati; Pseudomonadota; Gammaproteobacteria; Enterobacterales; Enterobacteriaceae. The record is from RNAcentral.